This 75-nucleotide transfer RNA is filed under the name Actinoplanes lobatus. RNAcentral describes it as "tRNA-Asp". It matches the Rfam family "tRNA". Rfam says of the family: Transfer RNA (tRNA) molecules are approximately 80 nucleotides in length. Their secondary structure includes four short double-helical elements and three loops (D, anti-codon, and T loops). Further hydrogen bonds mediate the characteristic L-shaped molecular structure. tRNAs have two regions of fundamental functional importance: the anti-codon, which is responsible for specific mRNA codon recognition, and the 3' end, to which the tRNAs corresponding amino acid is attached (by aminoacyl-tRNA synthetases). tRNAs cope with the degeneracy of the genetic code in two manners: having more than one tRNA (with a specific anti-codon) for a particular amino acid; and 'wobble' base-pairing, i.e. permitting non-standard base-pairing at the 3rd anti-codon position. RNAcentral also lists the same sequence under 1 other name. The record is from RNAcentral. Lineage: Bacteria; Bacillati; Actinomycetota; Actinomycetes; Micromonosporales; Micromonosporaceae.
GCCGACGCAGGGGAGUCCGGAGUCCCCGUCACCCCGUCAAGGUGAAGAUCGCGGGUUCGAAUCCCGUCGUCGGUG